This 91-nucleotide small nucleolar RNA is filed under the name Echinops telfairi (small Madagascar hedgehog). RNAcentral describes it as "Small nucleolar RNA U3 (ENSETEG00000025911.1)". The record is from RNAcentral. Lineage: Eukaryota; Metazoa; Chordata; Mammalia; Afrosoricida; Tenrecidae.
AAGACUACACUUUCAGGGAUCGUUUCUGUAGGUUCGUAACGAAAACAUUGGACUCCCAAGACUACACUUUCAGGGAUCGUUUCUGUAGUUC